RNAcentral lists this ribosomal RNA (462 nucleotides) under uncultured bacterium. Its description in RNAcentral is "partial 16S ribosomal RNA". It matches the Rfam family "Bacterial small subunit ribosomal RNA", at positions 28 to 507 of the family's 1533-position model. The record is from RNAcentral.
GACGAACGCUGGCGGCGUGCUUAACACAUGCAAGUCGAGCGGUAAGGCCUUUCGGGGUACACGAGCGGCGAACGGGUGAGUAACACGUGGGUGAUCUGCCCUGCACUUCGGGAUAAGCCUGGGAAACUGGGUCUAAUACCGGAUAUGACCUCCUAUCGCAUGGUGGGUGGUGGAAAGAUUUAUCGGUGCAGGAUGGGCCCGCGGCCUAUCAGCUUGUUGGUGGGGUAAUGGCCUACCAAGGCGACGACGGGUAGCCGACCUGAGAGGGUGACCGGCCACACUGGGACUGAGACACGGCCCAGACUCCUACGGGAGGCAGCAGUGGGGAAUAUUGCACAAUGGGCGAAAGCCCGAUGCAGCGACGCCGCGUGAGGGAUGACGGCCUUCGGGUUGUAAACCUCUUUCAGCAGGGACGAAGCGCAAGUGACGGUACCUGCAGAAGAAGCACCGGCUAACUACGUG